CAGUCGCCGCGGGAAUACGUAGGUCCCGAGCGUUGUCCGGAUUUAUUGGGCGUAAAGCGAGCGCAGGCGGUUAGAUAAGUCUGAAGUUAAAGGCUGUGGCUUAACCAUAGUACGCUUUGGAAACUGUUUAACUUGAGUGCAAGAGGGGAGAGUGGAAUUCCAUGUGUAGCGGUGAAAUGCGUAGAUAUAUGGAGGAACACCGGUGGCGAAAGCGGCUCUCUGGCUUGUAACUGACGCUGAGGCUCGAAAGCGUGGGGAGCAAACAGGAUUAGAUACCCGGGUAGUCCCUGUCUCUUAUACA
Molecule: ribosomal RNA, 301 nt
Filed under: uncultured bacterium
Lineage: Bacteria
Description: partial 16S ribosomal RNA
Rfam family: Bacterial small subunit ribosomal RNA
Source: RNAcentral